Molecule: ribosomal RNA, 56 nt
Filed under: Gongora sp. SRR-2011
Lineage: Eukaryota; Viridiplantae; Streptophyta; Magnoliopsida; Asparagales; Orchidaceae
Description: partial 18S ribosomal RNA
Rfam family: Eukaryotic small subunit ribosomal RNA
Source: RNAcentral
GAGGCGGGGGAAGUCCUAACAAGGUUUCCGUAGGUGAACCUGCGGAAGGAUCAUUG